RNAcentral lists this long non-coding RNA (350 nucleotides) under Sorghum bicolor (sorghum). Its description in RNAcentral is "long non-coding RNA (SBIC_LNC005729)". Lineage: Eukaryota; Viridiplantae; Streptophyta; Magnoliopsida; Poales; Poaceae. The record is from RNAcentral.
GAGGUUCAUGUCGAAGCCGAUGGUCCAGACGGAGGGGCGGUGCUCCAUGGCGAAGGUGACGACGAUGGCCUGCAGGGUGCCGACGAAGCAGAUGAGGGUGGUGAGGGAGAGCGGCGCCGCGUACUGCUUCAGGGUGUGCGCCUGGAGGAUGAAGAGGGAGGCCCAGGCGAGGGUGGCGAUGAUGACGAAGAGCGAGCCCAGGAACCACUCCCGGCCGCUGGGGUCGAUGGCGGCGGCGACGGCAGCGGGCGCCUCGGCGCCGUGGCCUUGCGCGUGGCCGUGGCCGCUGGUCCACGCCAUCUUCAUCAGCGGGCCCUUGUACAGCGUCAUCAUCAUCGCGCCGGCCACGG